This is a non-coding RNA of Benincasa hispida (wax gourd), 531 nucleotides long. The record is from RefSeq and is a predicted model, not a curated record. Lineage: Eukaryota; Viridiplantae; Streptophyta; Magnoliopsida; Cucurbitales; Cucurbitaceae.
ACACAAUUCAAGCUGCUAAACCAUGGCCCUUUGAAUCUGAAAGUUCCAUUUUGAUGGUACAGAACUUCAGUGAUCCAUUCAUACAAGUUGCCUCGGAGUCCGGUGACUAAAGACGGUAACAUUCUGAUGACCGGCCAUACAGAAGAGGUUCCAUACAACCAAUUUCUGAGAUGGGAAUUCGACAGAGGAGAUGACGGUGAGGUUGCCGGAGCUCAACAUGGUGAUAGGCAAACGCUAACAGAGAAAUGGUGCAACAACACACAUGAGAAAUAGCUACUCUUUAAGGUUGGUAUGUCUUUUAUGAGCGUUAUACAUUUAUAUAUAAUAUCGAGAUUUGUGUUUCUUGGGAAACUUGGUUUUGCUGAUUGUUUUGAUUUGGUGAGCUGAAAAAAAAAUAGCUGUCUGUGGUGUUUGCUUAGUCUGCAAAUUUAUUUCCAUAGCUGUGGGAGGUUUCUUGGGAUGGGGUUUAUGGAAUUUUAAGUCACUUUGUGGCAAAUGGGUUUCUUAAUUCUUUUUCUACCCACCCCUUUA